UACCUAUCCAAUAAGGGCCGAGUUCAUUUUUAGAGUGAAAAGGGCAGAGCCCAUGAGAUUCCUGUUCAAAUCUUUGCUUAUCGCUGACUGCAACUUAGAAUUGAAGCAAUCAAAUCUAAUUUCUCUCUAAAAUAAAAACAAAAUCCUGACAAACAGAUCCAGUUCCCAGAAGACAGAUCCAGUUCCCAAAAGAAAUGGAGAAGAUGAACCAAGCAUUCGAGAAGAUGAAGAUGCUAGUGGGAAUGGAAGUGGAAGACGAAGAGCAAGCCCCGGAACCAGAGGACUCCAGUUCCUUCUCUUUCAUGGACGAUUUCAAUCGCAGCUGCACCCUCUCCACCAAACAGCGGCUUUACGGUUUUGCCAUAUGCUUUGUUUCUGGCUUAGCUUGUACCCUUUUGGUAAGUUAACGCAUUAUCAUAUCCCCCUUUCUUUCCGUUAUCGUUACUGCAGCAAUUCUUUAGUACCGAGCAAACUUUAUUUAUUGUUGAAUUUGCUAUUUUCUUGAUUAGCUCUGAUAUUGCUACUGUUUGCCAUUUCUCUCUGGAAAGAUUUAGAAUUUUGCAUCAGAUGCUUUAAAGAGCUCUUAACCAUGUCCAAAAUCUGGGCAUUGGAAAAAUGUUGCACAGCAGCUCCUUCUAGCAACUUUUAUGGCUAGAUCUGUUAUUAGAGAUCUAUAAUAUGAGACAUAAACGAUUUUGUUUAAUUUCCCUUCCAAUAAGUUUGACCAGUUUAAUUUAAUACAUGAACUUAGCUACCAAGCAAUUACCUAUAAUUUUCUGAAGCUAGAAACCAAGAUAAAAUAGCAAGAGAUGAACUUUAAAACUAAUUCCUGCUGAAGCAAUUAGCUAUCAUGUUUGUGUCAAAGGUUUUAGAGUGGCCUAAACAUGAUACAACACAGGCCCACCUUUAAUUUGUUUGGUUGAUGAAGAUCUUCACGUAAUUCAGGUACAUUCCGUUGUCAUCCAAUCAGAUUGGCCCUGGCUUUAAGCUUGCAUAUGCUUUAAAUCCUUUUAGUGAUUACUUAUGCUACCAUAGAGACCAAUAAGAUUGCUAGGCCUUUAUGCUCUUUUUUUUGGGUUUACAUAUAGGUAGUUUUUAAACAUAAAUUCUAUUUUCCUAGGAACAAAAAUCUCAAAGUUAUAAUGCGUAAAUAGGUAAAAAUGGUGUAUGGUCCUAAAUAUCAUAUUGCAAUUUGUUCUUAGAAUUUUGAAGUGAGGAUAUUACUGAAACUCAUUGCAGUGCUUUCCUUUUCCUAGCUAGUGCUUACAAGAUUUUCCAUAGCACAUAAAGGAACUAAUCUGCUUUCUCUUCUAUUCAUGUCACAGUCAAUGCUGGUCUUUUUCAAUCCAGUUAAGUUUGGGAUUACGUUCACAUUUGGCAAUUUGCUUUCACUCGGAAGCACAGCAUUUCUAAUAGGCCCAAAACGUCAAGUGACUAUGAUGCUUGAUCCUGUUCGUAUAUAUGCAACAGCCUUGUAUCUUGCAAGUAUAAUUAUUGCCUUGUUCUGUGCGCUAUAUGUUCAUAACAAGCUUUUGACACUUUUGGCAAUCGUUCUUGAAUUUGGUGCACUGGUUUGGUAUAGCUUGAGCUACAUCCCCUUUGCAAGGUCAAUGGUUUCAAAGAUCAUGCUAGGUUGCUUUGACACUGAAUUUUAGGCCACAGAAGGGAAAACUGGUCACAGUGAUUGGAUUUGGAGUACACAACUCAACAUGAAUGUUAAUGUAAAUUUUGUGCAGAUUUAUUCUAGAGAGUUCGACCUCAAAUGUACCGAUGUUCAAAAUUUAGUUGUGAUCAGCUUUUGUACGAAUAUUAAAUUUAGCUGUCCCAUUUCAUACAUCCAUGCCCUCUUACUCUCUGGCUUAUAACUUUUAGAAUAAGAUGCUCCAGUUUUUGACCUGUGCAAUUCAACUUUCACAUUACAAUUAUCGUUUUAGGAAAGUAGGAGUUCAUCCAAAAUUUUAGUUCCAGGCUCUUCAAUUCCAAAUUGUCAACGAUCUGAGAACUUGGAGUUUUAAGUUAGGAUUUUGUUUUUCUUGAAAUACGACGACUCGAUUUUUGAUUGGCACAGCUCAAAU
RNAcentral lists this unclassified non-coding RNA (2075 nucleotides) under Hevea brasiliensis (rubber tree). Lineage: Eukaryota; Viridiplantae; Streptophyta; Magnoliopsida; Malpighiales; Euphorbiaceae. The record is from RNAcentral.